UAUUAAUAUUUCAUCUAUUUGUACUGUUAAAAGCUAGCAUGCCUGAUGGAAUAACUAGACAGUUCGUCAAGAUGACGUACAAAGACUAAUUUUUAACAAUAGAAAUGGAUGUAAUUUUAAACA
Non-coding RNA from Gossypium raimondii (Peruvian cotton), 123 nucleotides. NCBI's taxonomy places the organism in Eukaryota, Viridiplantae, Streptophyta, Magnoliopsida, Malvales, Malvaceae. The record is from Rfam.